Molecule: unclassified non-coding RNA, 299 nt
Filed under: uncultured Ascomycota
Lineage: Eukaryota; Fungi; Ascomycota
Description: sequence contains ITS1
Rfam family: 5.8S ribosomal RNA (bases 1-105)
Source: RNAcentral
GAAAUGCGAUAAGUAUUGCGAAUUGCAGAAUUCAGUGAGUCAUCGAAUUUUUGAACGCACAUUGCGCCCUUUGGCAUUCCGAAGGGCAUGCCUGUUCGAGCGUCAUUAUCAACCAUCAAGCUAGCCUUGUCGUUGGAUCUCAUCGUUAAAAGAUGGAUCUGAAAGAUAAUGACGGUGUCAUGUCGACCCUAGAUGCAAUGAGCUUUUCAAGCACGCAUGAUAGCGGUAGGCUGGCCCAGUCUUUAACCAUAAUCCUCAAGGUUGACCUCGGAUCAGGUAGGAAUACCCGCUGAACUUAA